ACACGGAGGGCGCAAGCGUUGCUCGGAAUCACUGGGCGUAAAGCGGGUGUAGGCGGUCUAGCAAGUCAGAUGUGAAAGCCCACGGCUCAACCGUGGAAGUGCAUCUGAAACUGCUAGACUUGAGUGCCGGAGAGGGAAGUGGAAUUCCUGGUGUAGGGGUGAAAUCCGUAGAUAUCAGGAGGAACACCGGUGGCGAAGGCGACUUCCUGGACGGCCACUGACGCUGAGACCCGAAAGCGUGGGGAGCAAACAGGAUUAGAUACCCUAGUAGUCC
This 274-nucleotide ribosomal RNA is filed under the name uncultured bacterium. RNAcentral's name for it is "partial 16S ribosomal RNA". It matches the Rfam family "Bacterial small subunit ribosomal RNA", at positions 523 to 796 of the family's 1533-position model. The record is from RNAcentral.